CUCCAUAGUGGCUGAACCAGUUUACAAUCCCAACAACAGUGCACAAUAGUUCCUUUCCUCCACAUCCUCACCAACACCUGUUAGCUCUUGUCUUCUUAUGACAGCCGUUCGUACAGGCAUGAGGUGACAGCUCAUUGUGGAUUUGGUUUGCACUUCCCUGAUGAUUAGUGAUGCUUCUUGCAGGGCCUAUUCUACCCGAUGUGGCAAAAGUGGGCACCAACUCACGCUGCUUUGUUACUGCAGUGCAUGGCUGGAAGCUUGGGUCUACACUGGGCCACCCUAACACCAGGCCAGGACGGUUCUGUUGUAAACCAGUGACUUCCUUCUAAUGGCUCAGACAGUCAUGAGCAAACGUGACAUGAAAGGCCAGCACAAGAGCUCAGGACCAUAAGCUCCAUCAGUGGACAUGGUCUGUCUGAUGCACUUACCAGGAGGGGAAUACUAUCCAGGAUGGAACACCAAGGAAACCUCUGAAUUGCUGAAAAUGUAAAAAGAAUCCUGAUACUUUAAAUGAUGUCUAAAAUGGUUUUGUUAAGUCGAAAAACACCAGCUGAGAUUUUGAUUUGCAACUCAUCUUGGGUUGGGCUCCUCAGGAAAUGGACAUCGAGAUGAAGAUUUGCAGGCAGGUAACGUUUGGAGAGUUGAAAUAGCUUCAGCCAUUGCUGUGAAGUCUCCACAAUUCUUUGAAGAAAGUUACUCUUCAAACCGCAACUGCUGUUCAAUAAAAAGAAAAGAUGCUGUGGUCAUGGUGUUUGUGCAAUAUUUCUGCAGUAUCAACUUUUGAUUCAGGAAGAGGGGGGAAAAACCUUUAGUUUCCCCAAGGAAAGUCUGUACCAAUCUAUUAAAUGAAUUGAACUUUGUACCUAUUGGAGAG
Molecule: long non-coding RNA, 874 nt
Filed under: Equus asinus (donkey)
Lineage: Eukaryota; Metazoa; Chordata; Mammalia; Perissodactyla; Equidae
Description: lncRNA (ENSEASG00005024127.1)
Source: RNAcentral